Long non-coding RNA from Olea europaea var. sylvestris, 247 nucleotides. RefSeq lists it as uncharacterized. The transcript has 3 exons. NCBI's taxonomy places the organism in Eukaryota, Viridiplantae, Streptophyta, Magnoliopsida, Lamiales, Oleaceae. The record is from RefSeq and is a predicted model, not a curated record.
GCAAAUAUGAUGUAUAUGACUUUUGCAUGGCUUUGCAGUUGUGGGCAUAUGAGGCUAUCCCUGCUUUGGGUAGCAAAUGGGCGAUCAGAAGGGAGACCAGCUGCCCACGAAUGCUUCAUUGGCGAGCACAUGAAAAGCCAUCGGCUAAAGAUUUGACAGUUAUCCUCGACGAUCCUCAGCUCGAAGUUCAUGCUGAGUUGGUUAUUUCGGUGGAAGAGGAGGAUGCAAUAUAUGUACGUGAAUUACU